Molecule: non-coding RNA, 4579 nt
Filed under: synthetic construct
Source: RNAcentral
UGUAUUGGAUGAUAUCCAGAAUAAGAUAGACAGUUGGCUAUUCUCAUCAUAUUCACAAUCUUGGUAUACUUCUGGCAAAUCACAGAAUACUGGUAAGAAUAUUGUCAUCUUGGCCCAAUGGACGCACCCGUGGAGAAUAGGGCGUUUGCCUAUGUCAGGACUGGUGCUAAUUUGACUUCUCAGAUUAAAGAAUCUGCAGCAGAGGGACUUUUUAAAAGUUUUCACCUGCUGGUGGGUAAAAAUGUUAGGGAAAACAGUGUCAGAUUUGAGGCGCUCCUGGGAGUCUAUACCAACGCUAUAGAAUUUGUCAAAUUUCUAGAGACCUCCUUGGCUAUCGCCUGUCUCAAUACUGAAUUCAAGGAUCUCAGGAGAAUGGUAGAGGGAAAAAUCCAAUUCAAGGUCUCAGUGCCCACUAUAGCGCACGGUGAUGGAAGAAGACCAAGUAAACAAAGACAGUACCUUGUUAUGAAAUCUGCCCACAAACAUCACAUAAGUGCAGAAAUUGAGUUGUCCACAGAAGAUAUAGAACUUCUUUUUGCAGAAAAGGAAACCCAACUUGACGUCGCAGAAUAUGUGGGCGCCGUGAAGACUAUAACGUCAGCUCUCCAGUUUGGUAUAGAUGCCCUCGAGCGAGGCCUUAUUAAUGUGGUGCUCACGUCCAAAUUAAGACAGGCACCGCCCACCUUUAUUCUCCAAUCAAUUAAUGACCCUAGUGCUGCGCAGCGAGGGUUUGGUAAAGCUGCCAAGUCAGAUAUUGUGGCUAAUUUUAAAAAGCAUCUACUAGAGCACACCUUCUUCUUGGAUGAUGGACUUAGAAGCCAGAGGGGUAGGGAUUAUGUCCUGGCAGUGCUGUCAGACGCAGUGACUGCGGUCAACAGCGAGUCUGUGUUUAAAGGAGCAGACUUUUACACCACGGAGGGCGGGGAACCUGUCAGCGGCGUCUUUGAAACAACUGAUGGGACCAUGCAAAAACUUUUGAACCUGGUUGGUCAGGCAACCUCGUCCAUUAUGGCCCCUGCUGCCUAUGCAAAUUAUGUUAUCAGGGGAGGGAAUGUUGUGACUGCUAUGAGUUAUGGAAAAGUCAUGAAGAAUUUUGACAGCUUCUUGUCCAGAAUGAUUGAGAAUGGGACAAACAAGUCAGUGACUGAAAAUGACUUUUAUACUGAAAAUGGCGACACUGAUAUGGAUGUCUCCAAAACCACAAUACCUGCGGCUACCAUUAGAAUAGGGGAAAAGGUUUUUGCCAUUGAGAGCCUUCAGAGGAUGUAUAGAGAGACUCAGCAGGCUUAUCCCCUGAUAAGGACCAUGCAAUACGCCUAUUACUUUCCAGUGGGUCUCUACCUUCCAGAUCCAAAAUAUACUACAUCAGGAACUCUGAGAGGCCUGGAGGGAGGAUCGCCUCCUUUGGAAGCAUGGGUUGUCAAUAAGAACAAUCUCAUACAGUGUUUCACAUUUGAUAAUGCUCUAAAGAUGCUAUGCCAUCCAAGAUUUCACAACCCACAAUUGUGUAUUCAGAACUUGCCUGGAGAGGAGUUCCAGCAUGAUCACAUUCUUGGUUAUGGCAUACAGUCUCGUCAGAUUGGACAUAUGAAUCUAUAUAGAAUGAUGUAUGGGUACUAUGAUGGUAAAGCUGUUGCUCAUAUCCCAGACGUGGUGGCCAAGUCCGAGCUCUCCACCAGCGAGUUGCUGAGCCCACCCAUGGCCCAUCUAUUGAGAUUGGAGCUUCAUCCCCUGUUUGAUUUUUACAAGAUUAGGGGCGCCAAUGGUGCCAUUGAAUGUCGGGCCGUUCACAGAACACACGUUGGCAAUAUCCCAGAAGCAUUUGCCCCACCCAAGUUUCAAGAAGGGCGCGGCCAGCAGCUUGAGUCAGCCGCUGGGCUCUCACAUGUGAUUGAUCAACAAACUAUGGAAUUGAUCCAAGAGACAGCGUUUGAUGCCAACUACCCUCCAAUGUGUUAUGUUAUAGAAGCCAUGAUUCAUGGUCAGGAAGAUAAAUUUAUAAUGACCUCUUCUAUUGUGGCACUAACCAUAACUACAUACUGGAAUAAUACCGGACACUUGGCCUUUGUGAAUAGUUACUUUAUGAUCAAGUACAUCUGUAAACAUUUUGCCAAUGGCCUCAUACCCAGGGAAAUCUAUCUGAUCUAUAAGAAAAUUAUGGCAGAACUUAUUACCAUGGAACAGACUCUACUCAAGAUCUGCGGACAUGAGAAGGUGGCAAAUGUGUCUGUGGGGCAGUAUUUUAACAGCAUUAUGGAUCCUGCCCUCCUACCUCCCUUCAUUAAUGAUGAUAUCCUCUCAAAGGCCCUUAAAAACAAACAAAGAAAAGUAUCAUUUUACAUUGGAGACGAAUUAUAUGAUAACCAAGAAAGAAGGGAUGUCUACAUAAAGGAAAUAGAUACCCUAGAGAACUCUUAUGCUGCCUUUGAUGAUAUCUACACAGAUAUGCAUGAUGCAGACCAUGAAAACAGGAAGGUUCUAUUGUUGGGACCAGAGCCAGCGGGGGACCUGAUCCUUGAAAAAUUGUUUUACUAUGUGUUUCUGCCUGUUUGCACUAAUGGGCACGUGUGUGGCAUGGGCGUUGAUUAUGGUCAUGUUAUACAGACCCUGGGCUUUAAUGGCCCUGUCUGUUUGCCCAAUGUAAAUGGGGGGGAUGAUCUGUACCAACAUCUGGCUAAUGGACCUCUGAAAGAUCUCCUUUUGGCCAGCGACCUUAAACCUACAGUGGGGAUGAUCAGACUCCUAGUGGCCUGUUCUUUGACCACUCCAGCAGUGACUCAGAUUGUUAGGGUGGAGGCGGAGAGGGACUCUGCGCAACAGCUAGCCACCCACGAGAGUGGAACUAAAGUCAGACACAGUGUGCUGGUAAAUGGUAUAGCCGCCUUUGUGGUGGCAGAUAGGAACAAACAUGUGAUAGAGACAAUGUUCUAUCCUGUGCCUUUUCAUAAGUUUUAUGCUGAUCCAGUGGUUGCUGCAACCCUUCAUCCACUUGUUAAUAACUAUCUUAAUAAUAUUCCAUCUCAAAGAAAUGGAAUCUGUUUCAACGUGCCAAGUGAAUUCAUGGCAGAGUAUGAAGAGUGGCACAAGUCUCCCAUGCUCAAGUAUGUGAGAGAUUGUGAUGUGCAACCUCAGGCGCUAAGCACCAUGUUGGCCAUGCACAUGAAACUGUCACCCAUGGGAUUUAUUCACAUGACCAAGCUAAAGGUGCACCCCGGAGUUGCUCUAACAGUUGUGAGGACGGAUGAGUUGCUUACUGAAAAUAUUCUGUACAGCAACAGGGCAUCAACCUCUGUGUUUAUUGGAAGGCCAACUGUUAAGCGGCGAGAAAUCCGUGCAGAUGCUGUGGGAUUUGAUGUAAGCAAUGAAAUAGCCUCUUUAGAUACUGCCAUGGGGUACAGCUCAACUCUGAUUCCUGCUAGAGUUGCUGGAAUUACUACAGACAUGGGAAUCCACUGUCAGGACUUGUUUAAAAUGUAUCCUACAGAUAACUUCAAGAACAGGGAACUUACCAUCUUUAUCAAAAACAAAAUAGGAAGUGAGAGAGCACCCAACGCGAAUGUUGUGGACCCUCUCGCAUAUAUGGCUGACCCAAGACACGGAUCAGAGAUGUGUGGAUUGGCACAUGGUCAAUUGGCCACCUGUGAGGUGAUUCUAACACCUGUCACAUCAGACCUUACAUACUUUCAGUCCCCUAACAGCCCCAGAGGACGAACAGGAUGUGUGGUUUCAUGUGACACGUAUUCACCAGAAAAUGCAGCAAAGCUUUUGUAUGAUCACGGUCAGCCUGACCCAGCCUAUGAAUUCAGGACCACAAAUAACCCCUGGGCUUCCCAGAUUGGAUCACUGGGCGAUGCACUGUACAAUAAUCACAAUAGACAGCUUGUGACACCCGGUCUUUACAGUCCCUGUAGACAAUUUUUUAACAAGGACAUGUUGCUGAAAAACAAUAAAUCCCUGUUCACUCUGAUACAUGAAUAUAUUACCCGCCUUGGAGGUUCCCCCGCCACCAGCAACACAGAUGUUCAGUAUGUUGUAAUUAAUGGCACUGAUGUUUUCUUGGAGCAACCAUGUAUGCUGUUACAAGAAGCCUACCCAACAUUGUCUGCUAGUCACAAGGGUCUCCUGGACGAGUUCAUGUCAAACAAGAAGGGGCAUGCUCCUGUACAUAAUAUGCACUAUCUAGUAGAAGAAGUGGCUCCCCUGAAAAGAGUAUUAAAGAUUGGCAACAAGACUGCAUAAACUUUAUGGGGCUUGGAACCUGAAGUUUAUUAAUUAUCAUGGCAUCCAACAGGAACAUUGUCAUUACUCUAACAUCUAGAUUGUAUGCAGAUGAAAUUUCUGCUCUGCAGGAAAUGGUUGGCGCUGUCAUUUGUCUGCAGCACUAUCACCAGGUGCAAGAUGUUACAUCAAUUGGUCUGGGUCAUAUCAUCAGACCAGAGGGGCCAGUUGACUGGAUUGCUGCUUUUCACUAUCUGAGGAGGUGCACAUUUGGCAUUCUGCAUGAGAUAAAUCCAGAUUCAAUUUCUAUUAUUCGUGUUGACCCAGGGGAAAAUUAUCAAAUAAAGAAUACUUCCAAGCC